GCCCAGGACGGGCAGGAGUGACGGAUUCUGGUGGAGGGAGUGAUGGUGGCCGCCACCAGGCUGAAGGUGACGAUGAGGACGCCCAGGAUGGCUUGCACGAGACCCAGCACCAGCAGGACCUGCAGCCAGCUGCCCCUGGACCGCACAGUGACCCCAUCCCGGGACCGGGACACCGACCCGUCCCUGCCCGGGACCGGGACACCGACCCGUCCCUGCCCGGUCCCCUCAAAAUACCCUCUGAACAGACCGAGAGUGACAUAUGAAUCCCACAGGGCACAGUAGAACAACCCCAGGCUCAGCUGCUGCCGGGCCAAACCCAGACCAGUCCCACCAGUUCCAUAACUUACAAGGAAACAGAAAAGCUACAGAGAGCUGCGAGUCCUGGAGUAUUUACACCAAGGAGGGCAGGAACAGGAGACAAAGCAACACAGGACAAGAGGUAUUUACAGCACGGACACACAGGCCCCCCUCACCUCACGAGAACGGCAGCAGCGACAGCAGGUCAGGCCCGUGGUGCUCCUAGGCUGACAGAGAAUCUGGGCUAUUUACAGUAUCUCACAUAUUAACAGCUUUACAAACUUGUCCAGGAAGUUUCAUCUCAUGUAU
Taeniopygia guttata (zebra finch) is the source of this 606-nucleotide long non-coding RNA. RefSeq lists it as uncharacterized. The record is from RefSeq and is a predicted model, not a curated record. NCBI's taxonomy places the organism in Eukaryota, Metazoa, Chordata, Aves, Passeriformes, Estrildidae.